Molecule: ribosomal RNA, 253 nt
Filed under: uncultured bacterium
Lineage: Bacteria
Description: partial 16S ribosomal RNA
Rfam family: Bacterial small subunit ribosomal RNA
Source: RNAcentral
UACAGAGGGUGCAAGCGUUAAUCGGAAUUACUGGGCGUAAAGCGUGCGUAGACGGUUAUUUAAGUCAGGUGUGAAAGCCCCGGGCUCAACCUGGGAAUUGCAUUUGAGACUGAAUAGCUAGGGUGCGGAAGAGGGAAGCGGAAUUUCCGGUGUAGCGGUGAAAUGCGUAGAUAUUGGGAAGAACACCAGCGGCGAAAGCGUGCUACUGGGUCUGCACUGACACUGAGGGACGAAAGCUAGGGGAGCGAAAGGG